GUGCUUGCUUCAGCAGGACAUGUACUAAAAUUGAAAUGAUACAGAGAAGUUUAGCAUGGCCCCUGCACAAGGAGGACAAACAAAUUGAUGAAGUCUUUAAAAAAACA
Molecule: small nuclear RNA, 107 nt
Organism: Sceloporus undulatus (fence lizard)
Lineage: Eukaryota; Metazoa; Chordata; Lepidosauria; Squamata; Phrynosomatidae
Source: RefSeq, a predicted model, not a curated record